UACUAUAGGGCACACGCCUUCUACUAUAGGGCCCACUCCUUCUACUAUAGGGCCCACUCCUUCAGUUGUAGGGCCCACACCUCCUACUGUAAUGCCUACUCCUUCAGUGGUAGGGCAAACACCAUAUAUUCAUCCCUCUUCUAUCCCCACACCACCUUCUAUACCAUCUCCAGAUGUACAUCAGCCAUCUGCUGAUGCUGCUGAUUCGGCUGAUACUACUGAUUUGNAUGAUCCUGCUCCUCAUGAUCGACCAUUCAUUGAGCCGUGCGGAAAAGGGUAAUACCAUAUAUUCUUCUUAGUCUUGUAUUUUGCAUUAAAUUGUUGAUCUUACUAUGGUUGUACAUUCAUAACUUUCUUACAUUCAUAUUUCAGGUUUCUUCCUUCUAGAGUUGCUUCACA
RNAcentral lists this long non-coding RNA (399 nucleotides) under Vigna radiata. RNAcentral's name for it is "long non-coding RNA (VRAD_LNC012652)". Lineage: Eukaryota; Viridiplantae; Streptophyta; Magnoliopsida; Fabales; Fabaceae. The record is from RNAcentral.